AUCUUAGCAUUUGCAACAAUAGCUCGUAACCUGGUCAGGUUCGGAAGGAAGCAGCCACAGCGUGUGUUUUGUGUGCAAAAUUUAGCCAGGGUCUC
Molecule: signal recognition particle RNA, 95 nt
Filed under: Candidatus Photodesmus blepharonis
Lineage: Bacteria; Pseudomonadati; Pseudomonadota; Gammaproteobacteria; Vibrionales; Vibrionaceae
Description: Candidatus Photodesmus blepharus Bacterial small signal recognition particle RNA
Rfam family: Bacterial small signal recognition particle RNA
About the family: The signal recognition particle (SRP) is a universally conserved ribonucleoprotein involved in the co-translational targeting of proteins to membranes.
Source: Rfam by way of RNAcentral